This 520-nucleotide ribosomal RNA is filed under the name uncultured Glomus. Its description in RNAcentral is "SSU rRNA". It matches the Rfam family "Eukaryotic small subunit ribosomal RNA", at positions 569 to 1092 of the family's 1831-position model. The record is from RNAcentral. Lineage: Eukaryota; Fungi; Glomeromycota; Glomeromycetes; Glomerales; Glomeraceae.
AGCAGCCGCGGUAAUUCCAGCUCCAAUAGCGUAUAUUAAAGUUGUUGCAGUUAAAAAGCUCGUAGUUGAAUUUCGGGAUCAGUUCGCCGGUCGUGCCUUGGUAUGUACUGGUGUUACUGGUUCCUCCCUUCUGAAGAACUGUCAUGCCAUUUAUUUGGUGUGGCGGGGAAUCAGGACUGUUACUUUGAAAAAAUUAGAGUGUUUAAAGCAGGCUCGCGCUUGAAUACAUUAGCAUGGAAUAAUGAAAUAGGACGUUCGAUCCUAUUUUAUUGGUUUCUAGGAUUGACGUAAUGAUUAAUAGGGAUAGUUGGGGGCAUUAGUAUUCAAUUGUCAGAGGUGAAAUUCUUGGAUUUAUUGAAGACUAACUACUGCGAAAGCAUUUGCCAAGGAUGUUUUCAUUAAUCAAGAACGAAAGUUAGGGGAUCGAAGACGAUCAGAUACCGUCGUAGUCUUAACCAUAAACUAUGCCGACUAGGGAUCGGAUGAUGUUAAUUUUUAAUGACUCAUUCGGCGCCUUAAC